RNAcentral lists this ribosomal RNA (254 nucleotides) under uncultured bacterium. Its description in RNAcentral is "partial 16S ribosomal RNA". It matches the Rfam family "Bacterial small subunit ribosomal RNA", at positions 524 to 776 of the family's 1533-position model. The record is from RNAcentral.
UACGGGGGGAGCAAGCGUUGUUCGGAUUUACUGGGCGUAAAGGGCGCGUAGGCGGCCACGACAAGUCAGUUGUGAAAUCUCUGGGCUUAACUCAGAACGGUCAACUGAUACUGUCGGGCUAGAGUGCAGAAGGGGCAACUGGAAUUCUCGGUGUAGCGGUGAAAUGCGUAGAUAUCGAGAGGAACACCUGCGGCGAAGGCGGGUUGCUGGGCUGACGCUGACGCUGAGGCGCGAAAGCUAGGGGAGCGAACGGG